Molecule: ribosomal RNA, 378 nt
Filed under: uncultured bacterium
Lineage: Bacteria
Description: bacterial SSU rRNA
Rfam family: Bacterial small subunit ribosomal RNA
Source: RNAcentral
AAUGAACGCUGGCGGCGCGCCUAAUACAUGCAAGUCGAGCGAGAAGACGUAGCAAUACGUUUGUAAAGCGGCGAACGGGUGAGGAAUACAUGGGUAACCUACCCUCGAGUGGGGAAUAACUAGCCGAAAGGUUAGCUAAUACCGCGUACGCUCCUUGGACUUCGGUUCAGGGAGGAAAGCGAUACCGUGGGUAUCGCGCUCUUGGUUGGGCUCAUGUCCUAUCAGCUUGUUGGGAGGUAACGGCUCACCAAGGCUUCGACGGGUAGCUGGUCUGAGAGGACGAUCAGCCACACUGGCACUGCGACACGGGCCAGACUCCUACGGGAGGCAGCAGUAAGGAAUAUUGCGCAAUGGGCGAAAGCCUGACGCAGCGACGCC